This 253-nucleotide ribosomal RNA is filed under the name uncultured bacterium. RNAcentral describes it as "partial 16S ribosomal RNA". It matches the Rfam family "Bacterial small subunit ribosomal RNA", at positions 524 to 776 of the family's 1533-position model. The record is from RNAcentral.
UACGUAGGGUGCAAGCGUUAAUCGGAAUUACUGGGCGUAAAGCGUGCGCAGGCGGUUUUGUAAGACAGGUGUGAAAUCCCCGGGCUUAACCUGGGUACUGCAUUUGUGACUGCAAGGCUGGAGUGCGGCAGAGGGGGAUGGAAUUCCGCGUGUAGCAGUGAAAUGCGUAGAUAUGCGGAGGAACACCGAUGGCGAAGGCAAUCCCCUGGGCCUGCACUGACGCUCAUGCACGAAAGCGUGGGGAGCAAACAGG